RNAcentral lists this long non-coding RNA (1033 nucleotides) under Parus major (Great Tit). RNAcentral's name for it is "lncRNA (ENSPMJG00000007680.1)". Lineage: Eukaryota; Metazoa; Chordata; Aves; Passeriformes; Paridae. The record is from RNAcentral.
GAAAGCAAUGUGAGUCAAAUGACUGUCUGAGAUGGUGGUGUGUCACUUCUUGUGUAGGUGCUUCACAGCUGUUUGGUUGUGCAGCACAAUGUUCAUCCCAAUCCUCAAGUGCUGGUUGAAGUUACACCUAAACCACGAGUGUUCAAGUACUUGAAUGCACCACUCUGUUAAUUAAUGACUAUUAAAAUAUCAUCAGAAGUGGAAGAACAGAACUUUCUGAAGGUCCUUUCACUCAUCUCAAGGUUAUAAAAAUACCUGAAGAAAUCAGGACAAAGUACGUUUCCUUCUCUACAAAUUCCCACAUCACCCUCUCCUUCAUUCCCACUGGAUAAGCACUUCUCCUACUGCUGGACACUGAGCAGCUCUCAGCUGCUAAAAACCAAUUCAACCAGGCCAGAUGUAUGGGACCUACACCUGAGUUAGAAUGACCUUCUCAGCCCCAGCGUCUUCCCUGAAAACAGGGGAAGGUCUGAGGUGGAGUGGAACAAAAUUGAACUUCCCUGGCUCCCCUCCCAGCCCAUCUGCAAACCUGGGGGUUGGCUCAGGCUUCUUCCCAGCUAAGUUCUGGUUAACUGGAAAUGUACCAGGCUGGUACUAAAGUACCAAGCAACAUGCUUACUACAGGAAAACCAGAAGCCAAAGGAAUAUCAUCCUUGAUAUUUUCUUUAAACAACAGUUUCCAGUAUAAACCAUGUAUGCUACAGCUGUGUGUGCUACAGUCUGCUGGACUUGCUGAGUUCAUCGAUUUUAAUGGAGUUAUUCCAUUCUACCUAGCUGAGAUUACAGCCCAUUAGAUGAUGUAUUCUGCAGAUGGAGAGGAAUAGAAAUGAAGCCAAGAUGCAGUUGAAGCUGGGCCUGGAAUUGCUGGAAGGAGAAGGAUGAAGAAAGGGGAGAUGCCAAGAAGGAAGUAGAGCAGAAAGAGAGAAAGGAAGAUGGGAAGAAGGGAAAUCACUCCUACUGAGUUUCACUGAAUCAAAUACUAAAAGAGUGAAGGAAUAAUAAACAAUCUGUAGCAAAUGGUGAGGCUUUGCCU